UCUCUUUCCCUUUUUUUCUUCCCAAAAAUCUCGAAUCAGUGACGAAAUAGAAGCCCCAUCGAAACCGGUGUCUCCUGACUCUUCUCUCCCAAAUUCGGCGCAUGGGCUACUUGUCUCUUACGUUGGUACGCAUAUUUGAUUUAUCGUCUUUUCUAUUCCCUCAUCUCCCAUGUUUAGGUAUUCAAAGAUUCAACUUUAUCUAGAACAACAUCAAUGGCUUGAAAGGUUUUUUAAUCCCAUUCUCCUUAUCAAUGUCCCUUACUCUCUCACCCCUUUCAAAUUCAAUCCCUAAAAUCAAAUUGAUUCUUUUAGAAAACCGUAUUCUCCGCAUUCUUGUUGAUUCAGAACAAUUACAAAAAGCUCUAUAUUGAAGAACACAAUCCUCAGAUAGAAUUGUACUGUGAAAAAUAUUCACAUAUAGAUGUAAUGUUAUAACUCCCUUUUUGUAUAAUUUAAUUUCUGAUUUCCUCGUAGAUAUGGGCAAUUCUGGUUAUUUUUGUUUUAGGAUAAUUUGAGUCUACGCAUGUGCUCAACCUACACUUAAUCAAAUUUAAGAAUUAUAAAGUUGGAACUAUGGACAAGCCAAGGAUCCCCGGAAGUCAAAUGAAAUUCGUAAACGUUGGAUCUCUGAAAUUCAAAGGAAAUUUGUAAAUGUUGGAUUUGAAAUGGUUAUGGAACCUUCAAUUUUGAUGUUAGGCGAACCAACGUCUGGACUGGAAUGCGAAAUGAUUGGAAUGCGCAUCAUCUCAACUCCCUCUAAGAGCUAGGAGAUAUGAAGUUUUUGAGAGUGAACAUUUGCUUGGGAAUUCACUAGCCUCGGUGUUAUUGUUAAAAGUGAGCUUAACUCUUCUUUGGAAGAUAUCAUAUGAUGAAGCUGCAAAGUUUAAUGUUUUCAUAGAACCUCUUAGUAUAAAAUUUCAGGAUUAUUAUCUUUUCAUAGAAUCUUUUAGUAUAAAAUUCCAAGAUAUUAGUAAUUUUGAUUGUAUUAUUACAUUUCUUAUUUGAGAUAGAAUUUAAAACACAUUGGAUUUGUUUAAAAUUUUAUGUUUCAUAUGAAUAUUUAUAAAUACUAUGCAUGUUUUUCUACGUCUUGAUAUUGAUUUUGUUA
This is a long non-coding RNA of Vicia villosa (hairy vetch), 1108 nucleotides long. RefSeq lists it as uncharacterized. NCBI's taxonomy places the organism in Eukaryota, Viridiplantae, Streptophyta, Magnoliopsida, Fabales, Fabaceae. The record is from RefSeq and is a predicted model, not a curated record. The transcript has 3 exons.